AUGAAUAAGAUGCUAGGGUGAGCAUCUCGUGCGAAUCUGUAGUGGGUGAAACGUUUGAUUCGAUGCAUGACUUGGAGUUCCUAUUUAUAGUGGGCAAGUGUGGAGUUGUUGUAGUCCGAUAGAAAAUCUUGGCUUCGAGUUACGUGAUUUCUGGGAGAAAAUAGUUAGAAAGAAAGUCCGAAAUAGUGGUGUAUUAUUUUGUGGUAAGGGUUGGUUGAAGUGAUGUGGGAGGUACCCAUAGUAAUUCUAAGGUGUACCUUUACGAGUUGUUGAGGACCCUAAUCCUGAGCGAAUUAGUCACAUGGGAUUUGUGAUUAGUAUAGGGUUGCAGGAAGUUGCUACAUAAAAAGCUAAACGUCAAUUUAGAUAAGUCAUGAUUGAAGGCCAAUUUGUCGACUAUUUUUAUCCGCAACAGAAAGCAGUUGGGAACAUUUUGGGAUAAUGCUAGUUAUGUCAGCACCUAUUCUGGUUCCUACACUCUAAUUAUGGAUAAGUUUUUUUUAUCUUUUGAGCAAUUUAUUAAGAUGGUGGUGGUAAUAUCUUUUGGAAAUGUCGGAUAAUAGUAGUCGAUGAAUAUUAAGAUUUUUGAUGAUUUUGGUCUCUAUUGUGGGUUAGUUGAAGUUUGUUAAAGCACUAUGUGUAAUGACUUGGAUUGUUUUUCCUUGGAUUGGUUUUUUUUCAAAAGUCAUUGGUCAGUGCGUUGUGACAACUUCUUGUUAUGCCACAGUCGGGAAAUUUUAGAAAUUGAAUGGUGGCACUAAAUGUUUUGAGUUUCAAGCAAGUUUGGAACCGUGGAGUGAGAUGUCAGUUGUAUUAUUUUAAUCGUGGGGCCAUUAUGGAUUCUUUUAUAAUUCUAGGUGUUGAAGUUUGGUCUCCAGAUUUGUGGAGUGUUUUGGGAAGAUGAUAAAUUUAAAUGGAAUUGAAAAGUAAUGGUGGAGUGAGGGCAAGAUGGUUGUGGUCACUCCAGUUUUACGACAACACCUGGUGAAUUUAUUACGUGUUGUUAUGGGUAUUCCAUAGCAGUUGUGUGGUAGCAGUGGAAUAAAGCCCACUAGAUCGUGGAGCAAGAGUGCAUGGGUGUCCAAAGUAAUUUUCUUUUUUAAGCAGUGUUGUUCCGGGUAGUUGAGAUAAGUCUUGAAUUUGUGAUCGAAGUUGGUUUAUUGACAUCACUUCGUUAGCACUUGGUGACUAGCUCCGACACAUCACUAGGAGGAUCUGUUCACUCACCUUAUUUCUAAUUCGGUGAGAUGGAGCAGAGUUUUUUGUUGUGGUGUGUGUGGGAAUAUAUAAAUUAUUCCUACUGUAGUUUUUGGGUAGCAUCCUCAGAGCUUGAAAUUAUGGAAUGCGAAUUCAAUGUUACGAUUUGAAGGUUAGAGAUUCUGGUUUUUUUGUCGAAGUUUUGAGGUAAAUGAUAAAUUGGUAGUUGUGUCGUAGUCAUGGAUCUGGAAUAAAUCCAAUGGUGAUCCCAAGUGAGCUGGAGUUCAUUUAAGCGAGGAAUCUUGGUGCCGUAAAUCCUGUGUGGUAGUUUGAGAGUUGCAUGGUGAUGUUGAUUAGAUGGUUUGUGUCGUUGUAAGUAUAUUUCAUGAUGUAGCAUUAUGGGAGAGGGUUUUCCCCUGUUGACUCAAGAAGCGUCUAGAGUCAGUUUAUUAAGAGUUUUAAUAUUGAGAGUAGUAGAUAUUGAUAGGUUGAUCAACGUCUCUUCUCGGGAUCGUAUUGUGGUGGGACCACUCAUUAAUCCAAGUUUGAUUUGGGAGGUCUUCGCUAUUUGGUUGUGCGUUCAUCCGUUGGUGUCAGGAUGAUUAGUUGAGGUUUCUAGUGCAAUUUCGGAACAGGUUCUGGCGGAUAUCAGAGAAUUGUGGAGCUUUUGAGCUCGAAGUUAGAGGACUUGCCUUUCGUGUGCUUUAACUUAUUUCUUCUAGAACUUGAGCUGAGUUUAGCCAUGAGUUUUGAUUCUUACUUGAAUUCAUAGUUUUCGUUGGAUGGUGAACCAUAAAGUGUAGUAGUGGGCCUGUUACAGAAAUUAAUUUUUUUAUAUACGAUGGUUAACUUGUUGUUGCAAGCUCGGUUAUCGGAGAAUCUUUUUGGUGGGAAGCCGUGGGCCUAGAAAGUGUAGGAGAUUUGAGCAUACCUGAUUUCCGAUCGUAUUCUGCUAUCAAAUUAAUUGUUAUUAGAGAUAGAAAAAGAAGUGUGUUUGUCGGGUCCAAAGGUUUUGGCAUUUAGAAUCAUUCUUGUGGAAUGGCUAGAGUGAGCCGUGUGUUUUUAAUUGUUGCACUUGGGGUCGCGGUUGCACCUGAAUAAGUAGCAUGGCUGGACAUGUAAUUUUUGUUAAUGUUUAAGGAAGGUGUUCUAUUUAUGUGGAUUUCAAUGUCAAGUUUAGCAUCAUGAAUUGAUUGUGCCAAUUUUCGUGGGCAUUAUUAGUCAGUUUUUGCUUAUGGCGAGCAAGGAGGAAUAUCCAAUUUCCACAUGAUAGUCAUGUUUCAAAUUGUCUUCUGGUUUGUGGUAAAGAGAUUAGUGGAGAUAGCAGAAUCAGGAGAGAGUUGGAUUUCCCAUAAGCUGCUAGUUUGUGGUGCUCAAAAUAGUAAUGUAAUAGUUUUGGUGGAAAGACCUAUGUGACGUAGUGUUGAUCUCUACAUAAUGUCAUUUCGAGAUUCGAGGUUAUCAUUUGUUGGUGGACUGGUCACUUAGGCAGAGCAAGGUUGUCUUGUGGACUUGCAAGAGCUUUCACUCCGCGAAAGACUCUACGAAGUGUCUCAAUAUAAGAAGUGAUUGUUGCAGUUCUGCAGUGUGUGCAUCCUUAAAUUUGUUCAAUUAGCGGGUCUUUAUUUUGACCCCUAUGAGCAUGUGCGAAUACGUGAACUUUAGUUUCCUAGCAAGUGGGCUUUAUCGUCGAGUUUGUGAGCAACGUAAUGACGAGGUUGUUGUAUGACGUUAGGAGACUUUAGCCCGAUGGUGAUAGCAAAUUUAUGCAUUUUAUUUGGGUUAGCUAUUUCCAUUGCUCAGGAAAGAGUGUGCAUACCUACGGGUACUCGUACUCUGGAGCAAGUAUCACUGAACCCACUUACGUGUAAACGUUAGUGGUUCAAUGAAGGAUUUAGAGUCCUUGAGAAGAUUGAAAUAAUUCAGGAUAAAUGGGAAGAUUAAAAUAGUCAGAGAUAGACUCAAAGCAGCUCAAAGUGGUCAGAAGAGUUAUAAAGAUGUCCGCAGGAAGGACCAUGAGUUUCAAGUGGGUGAUUGGGCGAUCAUGAAACUACCUCCUUGGAAAGGGGUGGUACGUUUUGGUAACAUGGAAAGCUUGGUCCGAGAUUUAUUGGUCCUUAUGGGUUUUCAGAUCAAGUUGGCUCUCUUGCGUAUCGGUUAGUUUUGCCUCCAGAGUUAUCCAAGAUACAUACUGAGUUUCAUGUAUCCAUGCUUCGCAAGUUUAUUGCCGAUCUCUCUCAUGUGUUGCGAGAGCAGCCAAUUAAUUAGGAGAAAGUUUUUACCUAUGAUGAGGAGCUGGUUCAGAUUCUUGACCAAAAAGGAGCAUAUGUUUAGGAGCAAAUCUUUUCCACUUGUUAAAAUUAUGUGGAGGAGUCAUCAAGUAGAGGAAGCUACAUGGAAAUCGGUGGAGCAGAUGAGGCAUCAAUAUCCUUUCCUCUUUGAUGAGUAUGUAAAUUUCGAGGACGAAAUUUUUAUAAGGAGGGGAGAAUUGUCACAUCCCGACUCUUAAAUUGUCACAUCCCGACCCUUAAAUUUUUACCUUAUUUACUAGCUUGGUUAUAAUAAGAAUUUUACCGUCUCCGUCAUUGAGGUAAUAGUUUAAUCGGUCCCUAGAGGUGUUUUGAGGGACGAUUAAUUUCGGGGAAUUAUUCGUAGGAGAAAAUUAUGACGACGGUAAAAAUGGUAAAUUUUAGCUGGUAAAAGGUAAUUUUUAUUCGGGUAUUAUUUUUCCGGGAUGUUUUAUUUUUGGAAAUGGGUUGUAUAUAGGACUUGGACCGGGUAGGAGGCCCAAGCCUAUUUCUUCUUCUUCUCUCUUUUCUUUCUCUCUUCUCUCUCUCCCUCCCGAGCUCUCUCUCCCCCGCCGGUUUCCUCCGCUCAGAGCACUAGGUUAUUCGUUUCCUUUCUCUUUUUAGUACUACCUUAUAUUCUUGGUCGCACUUAGUGUCUAUAGAGUGAUGGUCCGACCGCGGCGGAUCUAUUAGCAUUAUAUGCUUUAGACACUAUGUGUUGAUUAGGUUUGUGAUGUAGUUGUUCUUCUUUUAUUUAUGGACAGUAGUGUGCCAUAAAUGUCUACAUCUCUAAGACUAUGCCUCCGUACACCGACCUCUUGAGUGUUCAUCCUUCGAGUUUUGAAAAGGUGUAUAGUUUGCAUCUAUUCCAAGGUUCAUUAAUUUAAUAUCUUUGAUAUUAAUGGUUGGAGUUGUUUUGCGAGUGGGGAACGAAAAAGCUUGUUAGCAUUCCUUUCAGGUAUCCAAUGAUUGUUUGGGUUAAAUAAGAUUAAGGUUUCAGAUUAAGAUGCUAAGGUGAGCCUCUUGUGCAAAUCUGUUGGGUGAAAUGUUGAUGAUUAAUGCCUUGAAGUUGUCCAUUUUUUUUUAGUGGGCAAGAUUGGAGUCAAAAAUUGAUUGAUGGGAGAUUUUGGUAUUGAGUUACGUGACUUCUGAGAGAGUUGAGUUGGAAGGAAAGUUCGAAGUAGUGGUGUAUUCUAUUGAUGAAAAAGUUAGUUGAAAUGAUGAGGUGAGGUAUCCAAUGGUAAUUCAAAGGGGUACCUAUAUGAGUUAUUGAGGACCCUAGUCUUGGGUUAAUCAAGGUUUUAGGAAAUUUGUGGCUAGUGAUUGGGUGGUAAGGUAGUGCUGCAUAAAAGAGCUAAAUGUCAAUUUAGAUAAGUCUUGAUUUAAGGCCAUUUUGCCGACAAUUUUAUCCGCAACAUAAAUCAAUUGGGAACAUGUUGGGAUAAUUUUGGUUAUGGCGGUAUAUGUUCUGGUUUCUGCAGUGCUAAUUAUGGAUAUGUUUCUAUCCUUAGAGCAUUUUAUCCAGAUGGUAGUGGUAAUAUAUUUUAAAAAUGAUGGAUGUUAGUAGUCGAUGAAUAGUAAGUUUUCUAAUGAUUUUGGUCUCUAUUGUGGGUUAGUUGAAGUUUGUUAAAGCACUAAGUAGAAUGACUUGGAUUGUUGGUUUUACAAAAGUCAUUCGUCAGUGCGUUGUGACAACUUCUUGUUGUGCCACAGUCGGGGAAUUUUAUAAUUUUAUUGAUGGCAUUAAAUGUUGAGUUUCAAGCAAGUUUGGAAUUAUGGAGUGAGUUGUCGGUUAUAUUAUUUUAACCGUGGGGCCAAUAUGGAUUCUUUUGGAAUUCCAGGUGUUGAAGUUUGGUUUCCAAAUUUGUUGAGUGUUUGGGAAGAUGAUAAUGUAAUGGAAUCGAAAAGUAAUGGUGGAAUGAGAGCGGGAUGGUUGUGGUCACUCCAGUUUUACAACAACACAUGGUGAAAUUUUAAAUAGGUGUUGUCAUGAGUUUUUUUUUUUAUAAAUUCUAAGGUAGUUGCAUGAAAUUGGUGGAAGUGGCAGCGGUAGAAUAGAACCCACUUGAUCAUAAAGCAAGAGUGCGUGGGUGUCUAAAGUAAUUUUUAAGCAAUGUCAUUCCGGGUGGUUGAUGUAAGUCUCAAAUUUGUAAUCGAAGUUGGUUUUGACAUCAUUUCGUUCGCAAUGGGUGACUAACUACGACAUAACAAUGGGAUGAUCUAUUCUCAUCUUAUUUCUAAUUCGGUGAGAUGGAGUAAAGUUUUGGUUGUGGUGUGUGUGGGAAUAUUUAAAUUAUUCAUACUGUAGGUUUUAGGUAGUAUCCUCAGAGCUUGAAAUUUUGGAAUGCGGAUUCAACACUUCGAUUUGAAGGGUAGAGAUUCUGGUUAUUUUGUCGAAGUUUUGAAGUAAAUGAUAUUUGGUAGUUGUGUCGUAGUCAUGGAUCCGGAAUAAAUCCAGUGGUGAUCCUAAGUGAGCUGGAGUUCUUUUAAGUGUUGAGUCUUGAUGCCGUAAAUCCUAUGUGGUAGUUUGAGAGUUGCAUGGUGAUGUUGAUUUUGAUGGUUUGUGUCAUUAUAGGUAUAUUUCAUGAUGUAGCAUUAUGGAAGAGGGUUUUCCCUUGUUGACUCAAGAAGCGUUUAGAGUCAAGGUUUAUUAAGAGCUUUAAUAUUGAGAGUAAUAGUUUUUGAUAGGCUGGUCAGCAUCUCUUAUUGUGGUGGGACCACUCAUUGAUCCAAGUUUGAUUUGAGAGGUCUUCGUUAUUUGGUUGUGCGUUCGUCCGUUGGUGUCAAGAUGAUUAGUGGAGGUUUCUAGUGCGAUUUCGAAGCGGGUUCUGGCGGAUAUAGGAGAUCUGUGGAGCUUUUGAGCUCGAAGUUAGAGGACUUGCUUUUCGUGUGCUUUAAAUUUUUUUUUCUUUUGGAGCUUGAGCUGAGUUAAGCCAUGAGUUUUGAUUCUUGGUAAUUUUACCAAUAUAGUAAAGCCUACAAGUAUUUACCUCUUUUUACCAAUAUAGUAAUUUUCGUUUUUAGACCAUAACUUCUUCAUACGAACUCCGUUUGAAGCGUGCCUCUUGUCCACGAACUCCGUUUAACGUCCUCUACAACUUUCAUGAAGGAAGUUUUCCCAAAUUCCAAACGGAAGAAAAAGUCAACUUUAGGGUCCUUAAGUAGUAAACGGUUACUCAACACGGUAAAAGACCAAAAUAACACCAAAGUAAAUAACCGUAAAAUAACUUAAGAACCGGGGUGUGACAGAAAUAAUGGAGGAAGCUCAUAGUUCUGCAUAUGCUGCUCAUCUAGGUAGCAUAAAAAUGUAUCGGACUUUUGUGAGUAGAUGUUUAAUUUGUCAACAAGUGAAAGCUGAAAGGCAGAAACCUUCUACGUUGCUUAAGCCGUUGUCUAUUCCAGUGUGGCAGUGGGACCACAUCACCAUGGAUUUUGUUUUCAGUUUACCUCGUACCCGUGAAGGGCAUGACGGUAUUUGGGUGAUUGUGGAUAGACUCACCAAAUCUGCACAUUUCUUGCCGGUGGAAAAGAAGUAUACACUGGAUAAAUUUGCGGAGCUUUAUGUGAAUGAGAUUGUGAGGCUUCAUGGUGUACCUGAAUGAAUAGUGUCGGAUCGGGAUCCUAGAUUUGCAUCUAAAUUCUGGGGAGCUCAUUAGGCAGCUUUGGGCACCCGAUUACACUUUAGCACUGCUUUCAUCCUCAGUCCGAUGGGCAAUCAGAGAGGAUUAUUCACACUUUGGAGGAUAUGGUGAGAGCUUGUGCCAUGCAGUUUAGAGGGAGUUGGGAUAAAAACCUAUCUUUGAUGGAAUUUGCUUACAAUAAUAGCUAUCAUUCUAGUAUUGGUAUGGCUCCCUUUAAGGCACUUUAUGAGAAGCAGUGUUGUACACCUUUGUGUUGGAAUGAAGUAGGAGAAAAAGAGCUUUGUGGUCUCGAGUUAAUUCAUGAUACAAAUGAGAAGAUUAAAGUGGUUAGAGAUAGACUCAAGGCCGCUCAAAGUAGGCAGAAGAGUUAUGCAGAUGUUCGUAGGAAGGACCUUGAGUUUCAAGUGGGUGAUUGUGUGUUCUUGAAACUAUCUCCUUGGAAAAAGGCAGUACGUUUUGGUAAACGUGGAAAGCUUAGCCCGACAUAUAUUGGUCCUUAUGAGAUAAUAGAGCGAGUUGGCUCGCUUGCUUAUCGGUUACUUUUGCCUCCAGAAUCAUCCAGGAUACAUAAUGUGUUUCAUGUAUCUAUGUUUCGCAAGUAUAUUGCCGAUCCCUCUCAUGUGCUGCAAGAGCAGUGAUUUGAUGCUAAUUGCAACUUACGCGCAAUAAGAGCAUGGUCAUCAAAGAAGUGGGAAAUAUUUAGACCCGAAGUUAUCGUACCACGGGGAUCACAAGCUAGCUAGCAAUCCUAUGGUCUAAGUCAUCAAUCACUUAUGCAUAUAUGUACAAAGAGGCUCACACAAUGGAUUUACAAAGAAAUUGUAGAGAAUGUGUCAUAAUGUUUUUGGGGUUUUCAACUAACAAACAAACUAAAUAACUAAGACAUAAAAGUAAAAUAGAUAGCAGGAUGGGAUGCAUCACCCAAGGGUCACCAUGGAAUUCAAGGUUCUCUACCCAAAUAAGAAUCAUAUGGCAAUAAUGAUGAUUAACUCAAAAGAUGCUUCAAUGUUUUGCCGGAUUUCCUUUUAGCAUUAAGAGACCGAAAAAAAAGCUAAAUCGGUUGUCACACAAUAGGAGGUAAACCAUAAGGGAAAGUUAGUGGGAGAAAGAACACUUUGGUUUUGCCUAUCCUAGUCUAGCAACCAUUACCACAAAUAAUAAGAUCGAAAAUAGUACUUACGAUAACAAUUACCCUACCCACAAUUCCAAAUACUAUUCCAACAAUCAAGAGAAAUAAUACACAAAAUUGGGUGUUAAGAGACCCACAGUCUAGAGAAAUCCAAAUGGAAAUAGAUAUAUGCAAUAAUGUGCAAAUUCCACCAUACUCAUGCCAUAACAUAAAUUGAAAUACAAAUUCCCAAAUUCAAUAUUCCAAUUCCAACACACCAAACAUAGAUUAAGGAGGGGAAUACCUAAAUCAUACAUCUAGAGUGAGGAAAUUAAUCUAAGAGUACACAAAGCAUAUGAAUAAACAUCAAUUUUAUUAAUUUCUCAUCAACACCAUACAAAUCCAAACUUGGGUUUCAAAAUGACCCUAAAAACAAUGAGAGGUCACACACAAAUACAUAUCCAUACACAUCAACAACACCAUAAGAAAGAGAUAAUAAUAGAGAGAAAGAAAGGGGAGAAAGAAGAGGGAAAGAGAGGAGAAGUCCAUGCAAGUCAAGGCAAAGCUUGUCAAUAGCAAAUGCCCAAACUCCAUGGCUUCUCUUGCUACCCUAUUAUGAAGCCAUGGUGGAGAGAUGGUGGUCAAGAAACCGGAGAUGUGCGUGCCUCCUCCUUGUGAAAGCCUACAUGUGAAGAAUGGAGGAAGGAGAAGAGAAGAGGAGGAGAGGAGGGAGAGAACUCCCAAAUUUGGCCAAAAACAAAGAGAGGAGGAAAACUCGGUCGAGCCUCCUGAAAUGAGAGUAAAAGUCUGCUUAAAUAGCCUCUUAGAUUCAAGGGUCAAGAUUAAACUUAAAACCUAAAUCCAAUGGCUCAAAAACAAGGAGAAAAUGGGUAAAAUGAAAUGCAACACAAUUGGGCUUGGGUCUUCACUUGUGGGCUUCUUUGGUCUUGGUCCGAGUUGACUUCGUUGACGCGUAGGUCAACCCGUUGACUUUUGUCCUUAAGUUGGAAAUUGUCUUUUUUCUCUCAAUUAGCCACUUCUAAUGUCUUUUUCUUCUUUUGACCAUAAUUUCCUACAAAUGAAGAAAACAAAGUAAAUACUAUAAAUAGUGCUUGAGUACUCGCUAAUUUCAAGGUAAUUAAGUAUAGAUGCACACGUAAAUUACAUGUGCAACAAGCAGCCGAUUAGUUUGCAGAAGGAUUUGUCCUAUGAAGAGGAGCCGGUUCAGAUUCUUGACCGAAACGUGCAAGUGCUUAGGAACAAGACAAUCCCAUUUGUCAAGGUGGUUUGAAGAAGUCAUCAAGUAGAGGAAGCUUGUCAGGACCUACCCCGGAUUUCCCCUUGAAAUCCGGGAUAAACCUUGUGAGACCCAUCUCAAGGGAAAUUCUACCAAAAUUUUGGCAUAACCUUACUUGAAAAUGAGUAACCCUACCUGAAAGAAUAACACCAAAACCCAAACACUUCUAAAACAAUUUAAUCCACGUCUUCUGGAGCCAUCUGCUCUCCCAAAUAAUCAUCCACCACCUCAACUGAAAUAAUAGUUCAAAAUAUUUUCAUGAAUUUAAUCCCUCAUACAACAUACCAAAUAAACCUUUUUUUUCAACACUCCUAGGUGGAGUCACAAGUUCUUAACACACAACAACAACAACAACAACAAUAUCACUUAAAACAUCCCAUGGUUAUCAGAAGAAAAUACAUAGGUAGGUUAAACUAGUAACCUAUGAGAGAAAACUGGAUGAGGUGGGAAAUAUGACUCGCCUCCUACCCUCGCCAAACAGAACUCUGCAGACUGGGCAUUUAAAACGAAAGGCCCAGGGGAGAAGCAUUUAAAACGUUAGAGUGAGUAGACAAAAUAAAUAAUAAAAACACGAACUUAAUGAUAGAGCAUUGAAAUCAAUUUAAUGCUUUUCCCAUAUUUUCCAUUGAGAAAAUAUUUAUGCAUGCUAUUCUUGGAAAUCUUUCCAAAAAUAAUUAGAGGCAACAAGAAUGAACCAAUCCCAUUAGUUCCCAAUAAAUCAAUAAAAAUGGGGAAGAGGUUUCACCAUAACGAUGAGCCUCCCAGGCUAGGGUCGGAACCUCCCAGACUAUAAUAACGUCCCACGCUAAGCGCCCUACUCACCUAUGGUGAGUAGUCACUAAUAAUGGCUAGCUAACAUAUAAAUAUAAAUACUGAUCGGUUGCCUCUCAGGCUAUAAUAGCGUCCCACGCUAAACGUCCUACUCACCUAUGGUGAGUAGCCGCUAAUAAUGAUUAGCUAGCAAUAAAGAAUAUAUAUCAACCCUUUAUGGUGAAGUAAAAAUAAAUAAUAUCAAGAAUGUCACUUCCCCAAAAAUAAUAUAAAUCACUUGACAUGUCCCACAUGUCAAAUAAAAUGAGCAAGAGAGUUCCCGAAAAAUAAAUGGAACUCAUUAAAUCCAAUGAAAAAUAUUAAAACUCCAAUAUGCUCACGACACAUUAAAUCUCCAAUAUGCCUCUGAAAUUAAUUAAACUUUAGAGCAUGCAUAACAUUCAAAUCAAGGGUCCACUCACAGUGCUCGGCUAUGCCUGCCGACGACCCGAGGCUUCCUCCAAAUGAUCCUCCUCACGUCCGGAACAAUAAAUAAUUAUUAAGCCUCCAGACCAGGAUAAAACUUUAAUAAAAUUUCCGAAAUAAAAAGGAAGCCUAUAAUUUCAUUUCUCUUGCCCAACUUCUCAACUUUUUACCUAAUAAGGCUCACAUUACUCCGCACUUACCGAAAGCCAUAAUUUAACCUUUUUAGACUUUAAAACCUGCUAAACCAACUGCCGGAUUUCCAUUCGAAUAACCGCCUAAAUCCUUAAUCAUUGAUAAAUCCCAAAUCUUAUCAAAUCUCCUCCAAAAAUUCCAAACUAUACAUCAUUAAACUCCUCUAAUGAAAACAAACCCAAAAUCAAGAAAAACUGACCCCAAGGGGCGGCGGCGGUCGGCAGCCGUAUUCCGGCGACCUCCAAUGCUUCUCAAAUUUUAAUAAAAUAAUCCUCUCAUCAUGCACAAUAACCUUCAUAACUAGCACUUACUCCAAUUCUAAGGCUAACUAGGGUAAUCGAACUAAAACAUCCAUAAAUCCCUAAAACUUCAAUUAUACAUUUCACCCUAACAAGAUCGAAUUAGACCAAUUCCUUUAGAGGGAUUACUCACCUUGAUGAGGGCUACAAGAUGAGCCAAAAAUCUCGACCUAUGGUGGCCGGAGGUGGGAACUCCGGCGAAGAGCUAUCCGGCAUCUCUGGCGGGUUUUCUCCUCUCCGGCGGUGGUACCGGCUCGGACACUAGGCCGGGGAGAGAGAGGAGGUGGCGGGGGUCCGAACUAGAGUGGAACAGCGACCGGUGGCUGGCCGAACGGCGGCAGCUGGCGUUGGAAACUUCAGGCGGGUUAGGGCUCGGGGUGAGCUCAGGAGAGAAGGGAGGAAGAGAGAGAGAGUGAGAGUGAGUGAGGGAGUGAGGGGUGCUGGGCUGCUCCACACCCGGUCAAACACUUAAACCCAAGAAAAAUACCCACUAAAUUUUUACCCCCUUUUACCAACUCAAAUAAUUUACUCUCUUAAUUUAUAACUUUUUCAUGCUAACUCCGAUUUUAACACACAGUAUGUCUACGAACUUGUAAUAACGUCCUCUAUAACUUUCAUGAAAAAAGCUUCCCCAAAUUCCAAACGGAAUAGAAAGUCAACUUUAGGGUCCUUAAGUAGUAAACGGUUACUCAACACGGUAAAAGACCAAAAUAAUACCAAAGUAAAUAACCGUAAAAUAACUUAAGAACCGGGGUGUGACAAAGCUACUUGGGAAUCAGAUGAGCAAAUGAGGCAGCAGUAUCCCUACCUCUUCGAUUGACAGGUAUGUAAAUUUCGAGGACGAAAUUUUUAUAAGGAAAGGAGAAUUGUCACAUCUCGACUCUUAAAUUUUUACCUUAUUUACUAGCUUGGUAUUAAUAAGAAUUUUACCGUUUUCGUCAAUGAGUUAUUAGUUUAAUUGGUCCAUAGAGGGGUUUUGGGGCACGUUUAUUUCGGAGGAUUAAUCGUAGGAGAAAAAUGUGACGACGGUAAAAAUGGUAAAUUUUAGCUAGUAAAAGGUAAUUUUUAUUGAGGUAUUAUUUUUAUGAUGUUAUUUGUGGAGUUGGGUUGUUAAUUGGUGUGGGUAUUAAAGUGUUGGACUGGUUUGGGGAGUAGAGGUUCAAACCAUUUCUCUCCUCUCUUCCUUCUCUCCUUCUCCCCGAUUCUUUCUCUUUCUCCCGCUGCAGGAAGUUUCCGGUCGUUGUCCGGCCAUCAUACGCCGCCGCACCGGUCUCAAUCGGUCGGCCCUUGUUCCCUCUUCCUUCCUGGACCGGUGGUAGCCUCCCUAGGGUCGCCGUGAGAGAGAAAUCAAGCCUAAAAGUCCCGACUGCCCAAAGCUCUCCGUCGGCAGAACUUCCUCCUCCGGCCACCAAUCUGGGCAAGCCUUAUUUGGUUUUGAAGGUCUUCAACCCAGUUGCCUUGCCCUAGAAGGACUCAGUUCAGUUUGCUUCAGGUGAGGAGAACCGGUGAGUGAAAGUUCUAGGUUUUUUGUAAUGUUUUCGUUUAAUUGGCAUAGUUAGGCUUGGAAUUAGUGUUUGUGCUAGUUAGGAAAGUUGUAGAAGGAGUUGAGAGGAAGAUGCUGUCAAAAUUUGGUAGGCAUUGGAGGUAGCCGGAGUCGGCCUCCGGCCGCCGCUGCCGGCGGAGCAGACGGCGGCGCCACCUCUGUUUUGGGGAUUUUCAUGAUUUUAAUUGUGUUAUAUUUAGGGGAGUUUAAUGGUGUGAAUUUUGGAAUUUUUGGAGGAGUUUUGGAUAGGUUUGGGAAUUUUUAAAGAUUGGUAAUUGAUGGAUUAAUAGGGUAGAAUCCGGCCAUUGGAUUAAUGUUGUGUAGACUGUGGAAGGUGGUGUUAAGGCUGCCAUUAUUUUUCGGUGAAGUUUGGAGCAUAUUGAGUUAAGAAUGACGAAGUGGGCAUAGAUGAGUGAGGUUAAGGCUCAUAUUUAAUUUUUGCCUAUUUUGAGUAAAUAUUAGAUUUUUAGUUGGGAAAUUAAUUAUAUAUUUGAAACAGGACGUGAGGAGGCUCGAGCAGAAGAGGCCUCGGAUUGACAUCAGGCUUAGGCCUAAUUUGUGAGUGGACCUUUGUUUUAAUUAAAAGCAUGCGAUGCAUUAUAUUGUUGAUCAGUUAUUCUUCUACUAAAAUCUAUUGCUUUCUCUAAUAUUUGGCAAUUUUCUUCUUUUGGAGAGUCACCGAAAAUGAGAUUUACGGUGGAUUUGUAUAUUGGAUGUUUAUGAGUAUAAUAUGUAUAUAAAUGCUAACUAGCCAUACGUGAUUGGUCCGUCAUAAUGAGGUAAAAUUCCAUUAUGGCAUGACGUGAGUGUUAGACACAAGCGUCAUAGCCCUAUAUGAAAACUACUUUCUUAUUUGGUUCUUAUAGGUUUUCAUAUAGGGAGUCCACACGUAAAUACACUCGUCCUCUUCGGUCAUAAUGAGGAAAAAUUCUAUUAUGGUGCGAUGUGAGCGUUAGACGUGAGCGUUAGACGUGACGAUGCUUGCGUCUAACGCUCACGUCGUAGCCUUGUAUGAAUUUCUGCUUUUCUAUCUUGUUCAUAGAAUUGGUACAAGGAGUCUGACUAGUGUAAAUACAUACACAUAUAUAUUUGUAUAUAGUUUAGCCUGUGAGGAGCUAGUCAUGUAUUUGCCAGUUUGUGAGUAGAAAGCUUUUAGCUGUCGCAUGCAGCAUAAUUUCUAUGAAAAUUAAAAUGGGAAUGCAUAAAUAUUUAUUGUUUAUUUUAUUUUUGUCCACUCACUCUAACGGUUUCAAAUGUUUUGCCCUGAGCCCUUCGUUUUAAAAUGCCCACUCUGCGGAAUUCAGGUUGACACUAGUAGGAGGCGAGGCGUAGUUACCCACAUUUCCACCACUUUUCACCAAUAGGUUAUCUGUUUAACCUACCAGUGUUUUUCUUGCUUCCUCUAGUUUUAGCGGCUCUGAUUACCUUGAGGAUAAUGUAUAUUAGUUCGGUUGUGUGCUAAGUCUUGGAUUUAAAUUUGGAAUAUUUGAAGGUUGAAGUUUGUUAUUUUAUAAUUGGAUAUUUAUGUGAUGGAUUAGAAGAUGGUUUUAUUAUUAUUGUUGUGGUGGUUGUAUUGUGGGGAGCGGGUGGCUCUAGGUGUUGAGGUUGGAUGUGUUCAUAUAGGAGUGUUAUUUGAAUUUUUCAGGUUAGGGUUGUCUUUUUUCAAAGGAGGUUAUGCCGAAUUUUUUGGUAAAUUUUCCUUGGAGGUGGACCCCGCAAGACUUACUUCGGGUUUCAUGAUAAAUUCGGGGUGGGUCUUGACAGUCUUGGCCGCUUUCGAGUACCGUUGCGUAGCUUGUAUGUCGAGAUGUAUGUCAUGGUCGGGUCCCGCCAUAGCUCGUGGGCCCACAAAAAGGGUGUCACUUAUGCUUGGUGGUGUAGGCAUAUUAGCCAUAAUAGUGGCUACACCUACAGAAUGCACUCAUAUUGCUACAAGGUUUUAGGUUUUGAAUAGGGAUGUUAUCUUGAAAUUUUUAGGCUAUAGUUGUGUAGUUUGCAGGCAACCAUUAUGUUUGUUCACUACAGGAAAUAUCGACUUAGUCGAUGGAAUUUUAUUAAUUUCGUCGGCUAAGUGACUCUUCGCCGAUGGAAGCAGAACCGUCGUAUAGGACAUCACAUCCGUCGCCUAAACGGAAAAUAACUGUCGACGUCUUCCGUCGACUAAGCUAUUCAUACUCAACGAAACACUAUUCGUCGUCCAAGUUCCGUUGGUUUAGUAAACCCUAGGCGACGAAUAUCUUCCGUCGGUAUGAUUUCGUCUGCUUAGAUCCUCUUAGGCGACGGAAAUUGACUGUCGACAUAGUCCGUCGUCUAAGAUUUUCUUGGGCGACGAAUAAUGUUCUGUCAAUAUAUCUAGUCUUAGACGACGAAUAAUGUUCGGUCGUCUUAAAUUUUCUUGGGCGACGAAGACUAUUCCGUCGGGUAAGAAAGACUUGGGCGAUGAAUAUUCUUUCUUAGCCGACGAAUUGUUCUGUCGACUAAGAAUUUGAAUUAUUGCCUGACACAAAGCAGAACGAAUAUUUUUUCCGACUCUUUUUGUCUUAGGCGAUGGAAUAUUCUGUCGGCUAAGUUUACACAUCAUUCAUUUAUACACCUUUUGCCCAGACUCCCCCCCCCCCCCUUUCAUCGGAAUAUUCAUCCAAUCCAAAUCUAGUUUUGGAAGCUUUUCUUCAUGAUGAAUUUGAUCGAUCUUUAAGAGCUGCGCGCUUCGAUCUCGAUCUCCUAAUUGGUAUAUAUGUAACUACUUUAAUUAAUUAAUUUACUUUCUUCUUUUAGGCAUAUUUUCCUGCGAACUUUCCGGCGACUUGCAGGUCCAAUUUUGAUAGAUUGUUGCUUACAUGUAUGCUUAAUAUAAUUAUUGGAUAUGUGUGUAUAAUAUGUUUGUACGUACGUAUAAUAUUAUAUAUGCAAGAAAACUAUAUAAUAUUAUGUUUGUAUAUAUAUCUAACUUUUGUGUGUAUAAUUUUUAAAGAUAUAUAUAUAUCUUUAACUUUUGUAUGUAUGAUUAAUAGUUAUGUGAAUAAUAUGUAUAUCAAAUUUUUGUUUUCAUUCAAAUCGAUUUGUGUAUUCGUAUGAUAAAAAAUAAAGUGAUGAAUCAUGAAAUUAAGAAUUAUAAUAUUCUUAUGCAUUCAUCAAUAUAUAUUGUUACCCUUAGAAAUCCCGUUCGAGAACCAUUAUGUUACGAUUGUGUCUAACAAAAUGGUUUUCGAAUUGUCCCAUAUUUGGACAGUUUGGGAGCAUAUGACAUUGAGAUUCCGUUUGUUAUUGGUGCGUUUUGUUUUCGGUUGUGGGUAUAUAUAUUUCGACAAGAUCUUCCUUUAUUGUUCCUCGAGUGUAUUCUAGGUAUAGAUAUUCGUGCACUUGGGGAACUGUAGAGAGAUGCUGUCGAAAUUUUCUCACAUAAACGAAUUUGAAACACCCCAACAACAAAUGAAAUCACAAUGUCAUAUGCUCUCAAACGGGAUUAGGGCCCUAACCAGAGGUAUAAGGUGAAGAAUAUUAUUGGGGUAAUAAUUAAACUCUCAAGUAUGGAAAAUGAUUGGAAAAUUAUGCUCAUAUAUAUGUAAAGUGGGGAAAAUUAUUGGGGGUCAGUAAUUUUCUGUAUUACUUGAUAUAACACAUCCGCCUUCCUUGAGUUUCUUCCAGUUUGAUACUUGGAUGUUUGUUUUACUCUUUUCCAGGUCUUUUCUUUAAUCUGGAAUGCUUCCAAUUUUUGUUAUGCUCAUAUGUUCAAGUGUGAAAAAUUAUUAGGGGUCAGUAAUUUUCUUGACCAGCGCAACCAAAGUUUCUGGAUAAUUGUUAUUACUUAGAUUCCUUUCAACCAUCCUCUAAUGACAUAAUAGGGUAGUAAACUCUCAAGUAUGGAAAAUUAUUGGGGGUCAGUAAUUUUCCUGAACAGAGCAACCAAAGUUUACUGACCCCCAAUAACCACCCUAUAACAAAAAAAAAUUUGAAACUGACAAUCAAAGAUAAAUGAAACUGACAGAAAGAUCAAAGAAAUAGACCAAAAUUACUAAAAGAACAAGUUCUGGCAUUGAAAUUCAAGGUCAUUCUUAUGUUCUUACAACACUACCAAAAUACUACAUAUUUUCACAUUUUGAAGAUCCUACAUCUUACAUAUUUUCACAUUUUGAAGAUCCUAUAUCUAAAGUGGCACUAAUCUUUUUUCUAUAUUGAUGUCCAUGAACUUUAACAGGAUCUUCUUCCUCAUUUCAUUACCACCAUCUUCUGUCGGUCUUUUCCUAUGACAUAGACUCUCUAUAAAGUGGAGCAAAAAUGGUCCACAGUCUGACCUGCAGUGUAUUAAGAAAGUGUUACUAAAUUUUUCACCCUAAUAAAAUAGACAAGUAAUUUCUGACCCCAAUAAAACUCUUUAAAGAAAGUUUAAAGGUACUUACGAUGUUUUGUUUUGCUGCGGGCAGGAUAAGAUAUCAUUCAGCUUGUAUCUUGCUUGAUAAACGUUUUGGUCCAGCAUCCAUCUUCUUGUUCUUUUCUCUUCAGCACUCAUCAUCGAGUAACCGUCAACCACUAUUCCUUGGCUAUCCUGCUUGUCAUAGUUUUCCCUCCAUUCCUCAGGGUUCAAGCCUUGGCUGAGAGGGUAUUUGGUGGAAUCAUAUACGCAUUUGAUGAACACCAUAAUGUGCUUCACCUGUUGGUUCCAACACACAAGUAAAUUACAACUCAAACAAACUAAGAGAAUAAGCAACAAACAAAAACCAGUAGAAGUUUACUGCGCCCCCAGUAAACUUCUUACCCUAAUAAAUCAGUUACAACUCACCACUGCCAUGACAUUUUGAAAGUCGUUGUUGGUGUCGGUAGAGUAAUCUUUUCUUGACGGUAGCAUUGAGUUCAGGUGAUAGAAGCAUCGAGCUUUGUUGUCAAUCAGGACCAAUGUAUAGUGGUGGCUGACCCCGUGAUUUACCGAAAUGAAAACCAGGUCCUUAUUGAAGAUGGACCACAGAGGAUUAAUAAUAGGGUUUAGGGUUAUAACAGCUUCCAUGUAUCAGUGUUGCAGUUCACUCCAUCAAUAACAAUAUUAUUUUGGACUUUAUGCUCCACCUCCUUUGUUCUUUUUGCUGGCUUUAGCCCUUCAGGGGUGUCAUACUCCCAUUCUUCUUCUUUCCUCUUUUGUGCCCCACGCUUCUUUAGGUUGACGUCUCUUUCAAUCGAACCAGUCUCCACAGUUUGUUUUGAGCCCUUCUAGUUGACAUAUUUCUUGAGCCCUUUUGCUUGCUGUUCUUUAUUCUUCAAGCUGGUUUCUUCAUUCAAUUUUUUUCCGGCCAUUUCCACAGCUUGAGCAACAAGUAUGUCUAGUUUAGACAGGUCGACAUCGGUCAUCACAGGUUCAUCGUCUUCUGGAAAUAUUUUUCGCAACGGAACUAGUUCUGCUACUUGUUCAAAAAACUACACAAAAGAAAACACACAAGUUAUCCUCAACAAAAUGAAGAAAACACAAUAUUUAUUGGGGGUCAAUAAACUGAUUUCUACUCUUACCUCUUCAGUUCCUGGUUGCUCCUCUCUGCAGCUAUGAUCCUUCCUAUUUUGUCUCUGCAGUUAUAUUCUUCCUCUUGAACCGGCUUUGACCUAUCCUCCUCCUCCUCCUCCUCCUUCUCCUUAGUUACACAUAUUAUCUGCUUUGUUUGAGCAUGUUUUGCCCCCUUGUGCAACAGUUUCCUGAGAGCGUUGAUUUGGUUUUUGUCUGCCCUCCUUUCUUUCUCUAGCUCAAUGAUUUGGUUGUCCGCUUUCUUUAACUUGCAGAGCAAUUCAGUGUUUUUGUUCACCAGUUCUUCAUUUGCUUUGGCAAGUUCUGUCAGCUUCUGCAUAUCUUUCAUCAGCAGCUCCUGUACACGUUAUAACAAUGAAAUCGUUACUGUUAAACAAUUAUAUCUAAAUAAACAAGUUUACUCGCCCCCAGUAAACUUCUACUGGCGNNNNNNNNNNNNNNNNNNNNNNNNNNNNNNNNNNNNNNNNNNNNNNNNNNNNNNNNNNNNNNNNNNNNNNNNNNNNNNNNNNNNNNNNNNNNNNNNNNNNNNNNNNNNNNNNNNNNNNNNNNNNNNNNNNNNNNNNNNNNNNNNNNNNNNNNNNNNNNNNNNNNNNNNNNNNNNNNNNNNNNNNNNNNNNNNNNNNNNNNNNNNNNNNNNNNNNNNNNNNNNNNNNNNNNNNNNNNNNNNNNNNNNNNNNNNNNNNNNNNNNNNNNNNNNNNNNNNNNNNNNNNNNNNNNNNNNNNNNNNNNNNNNNNNNNNNNNNNNNNNNNNNNNNNNNNNNNNNNNNNNNNNNNNNNNNNNNNNNNNNNNNNNNNNNNNNNNNNNNNNNNNNNNNNNNNNNNNNNNNNNNNNNNNNNNNNNNNNNNNNNNNNNNNNNNNNNNNNNNNNNNNNNNNNNNNNNNNNNNNNNNNNNNNNNNNNNNNNNNNNNNNNNNNNNNNNNNNNNNNNNNNNNNNNNNNNNNNNNNNNNNNNNNNNNNNNNNNNNNNNNNNNNNNNNNNNNNNNNNNNNNNNNNNNNNNNNNNNNNNNNNNNNNNNNNNNNNNNNNNNNNNNNNNNNNNNNNNNNNNNNNNNNNNNNNNNNNNNNNNNNNNNNNNNNNNNNNNNNNNNNNNNNNNNNNNNNNNNNNNNNNNNNNNNNNNNNNNNNNNNNNNNNNNNNNNNNNNNNNNNNNNNNNNNNNNNNNNNNNNNNNNNNNNNNNNNNNNNNNNNNNNNNNNNNNNNNNNNNNNNNNNNNNNNNNNNNNNNNNNNNNNNNNNNNNNNNNNNNNNNNNNNNNNNNNNNNNNNNNNNNNNNNNNNNNNNNNNNNNNNNNNNNNNNNNNNNNNNNNNNNNNNNNNNNNNNNNNNNNNNNNNNNNNNNNNNNNNNNNNNNNNNNNNNNNNNNNNNNNNNNNNNNNNNNNNNNNNNNNNNNNNNNNNNNNNNNNNNNNNNNNNNNNNNNNNAGCCAGAAAAUCUGAAGUGAAAAAUGAGUGCAUACCUUGUGAGAAUGAAUCAUACUUGUUUGAAACAUGCUGAGCUUAAAUAUCACCAUUGUUCUAUCAGGUUCUACAUGUAAGUAUGUGAUCUAUGCAUGGCAAUUAGCUUCUGAAACUUCAUGGAAUGAUUCUUGAUUGAGUGCUAAUUUUGAUGCCAUGAGAUUGGAGAUUCUGAGACAAUAUGUUAUGGGCAAUAGAGUUGUUUGUUUGUUAAGUUUUGUAGUGUAUAGUUUCUGGUUUGAGUGUAUUGAGUCUUUUGUUUGAUUUUGCUAAGGGACUAGCAAAAGCUAAGUGUGGGGGAAUUUGAUAGGUGCAUUUUAUGCAACGUUCUUAAUGUAUUUCCGACCCUAUUUAGUUAUGUAAUUCCUUUAACAAUAUUGAUUUUAACUUAGUUUGUGUUUUUAGGUCACAAAUAAAGCCGAGGAGCACAAAAGAGGCAAAAGAGGAGAAAUCUUGAAGGAAAAGGAAUCCAUAUGGCGCAAGGAAAGAAAUCAGAAAAUCUGCCAGUUAUAGUCAGUCAACUUCGACAGAGAAUUGUGAUCAGCUCACAACGAUCCAGGAGAUGAACUUUAUAUCAGCAGAAAGCUAGAAGAGUCUAGCUUUCAGAACUUUUCGCAGAUCGUCAAUAGCUAUUUUGGUGACCAAGUUAUGACCGUUUGAGUGACCAAAGGUCAGUCUGCCCGAAUUUCUGAUUUGGACCGGAACUUCAAUUUCAAGGCCCAGACCACAACGGCGAGCCCAUGGACGAAAAUUAAAGGUUCUCUAACCCUAAUAGCAGCUGUUCAUAUGUUCUCUAUAUGUAUGAGGAGUCGGAGACGUGAAAGGGUCGCUCUUGGCCGCAGAAAAACAACGCCUUUCAUCUCCUUCAAAAAUUCUUCUCCAAACACAAACCCUAAUUUUAGGAUUUCUCCUGCCUUCUCCUCUGUAAUUCUCGGCGUAGUUCCUUGUUUCAAUACUCAAAGUGUAAUCUAAACUCAUACCUCAUGUUUUCUUUUAUUAUCUAUUCAAUUACUUUAGUUUGUUUCCAUCUCUCUUAUUCGUUUGUGUUCAUGAGUUGGAUUUUUGAUUGAGUUUGUUCUUAUAAUCAUGAAAAUCAGAUCUGUACACUUGAGUUGUUGGUGUAAUUGAUGAUGCUUUUGAUGAUCUAAAUUAUGUUUAUAUGUGUGAUUGACAACUUAUGACUUGUUCUUAAUCAAUAUGUGUCAUUGUUUGUGUUAAGUCCGCGUCGGUAAACAUGAACUAGAAUGGUAAGGAGU
RNAcentral lists this long non-coding RNA (21012 nucleotides) under Fragaria vesca (wild strawberry). RNAcentral's name for it is "long non-coding RNA (FVES_LNC005417)". The record is from RNAcentral. Lineage: Eukaryota; Viridiplantae; Streptophyta; Magnoliopsida; Rosales; Rosaceae.